UACUAGAGUAGCACUCGCAUAUCAAUAAGCGGAGGAAAAGAAACUAACAAGGAUUCCCCUAGUAACGGCGAGUGAAGCGGGAAGAGCUCAAAUUUGAAAUCUUAAAGGGUUUCCCUUUACGAAUUGUAGUUUAAAGAAGUGUUUUCUGUUGAGGUUUUGGUAAAAGUUCUUUGGAAUAGGACAUCAUAGAGGGUGAGAAUCCCGUAUUUGACCUUUACUUUCAACUUUGUGAUACACUUUCAAAGAGUCGGAUUGUUUGGGAAUGCAGUCCAAAAUGGGUGGUAAAUUUCAUCUAAAGCUAAAUAUUGGUGAGAGACCGAUAGCGAACAAGUACCGUGAGGGAAAGAUGAAAAGAACUUUGAAAAGAGAGUUAAACAGUACGUGAAAUUGUCAAAAGGGAAGCGUUUGACACCAGUGUUGUUUUUCUGAAAAUCAAUUAAAGAACUGUUUAUGCUAAGCUGUUUAGACUUUAUCAGCUAUCUGUUUAGUUUUGAGCUUUUCUUUAAUGCACUUUUCAGUUAACAAGUCAACAUCAAUUUCUUUUGCUGUAAAAAAGCUUGAGGAAGGUGGCUUGAGAUUCGUCUUAAGUGUUUAUAGCCUCUUGCCUAUGCAGUCGGAGAGAUUGAGGUCUGCAGCGUAGAUCCUUCGGGGCUAAAUGCAUUUGUGCUAAGUUAUAGCAUUUUAUAGACAACUUGUUGACUAUGAUUUGUCUUGUAGCUUACUCGCUUAUGUUAUUUUACCUACGCUUAGGAUGUUGAUCUCUCACAGUCGAGC
Molecule: ribosomal RNA, 774 nt
Filed under: uncultured Neocallimastigales
Lineage: Eukaryota; Fungi; Neocallimastigomycota; Neocallimastigomycetes; Neocallimastigales
Description: partial large subunit ribosomal RNA
Rfam family: Eukaryotic large subunit ribosomal RNA
Source: RNAcentral